GGUUUGUGGUUCAGUGGUAGAGCACUUGCCUGGCAUGUGUGAGCUACUGGGUUUAAUUCUCAGCACCG
Molecule: transfer RNA, 68 nt
Filed under: Marmota monax (woodchuck)
Lineage: Eukaryota; Metazoa; Chordata; Mammalia; Rodentia; Sciuridae
Description: tRNA.Ala
Source: RNAcentral